GACAGGACGAAAUUGAAAUCAUUAUUUGUUUUGAGAAUUUGUGAUUGAGAGCGAGACAGAUUGAAGUUUUGGGAUGAACAUGAAAUAGGAAUCGGUGAUCAUCGCUGCAUUUCUCUUUAAGGUAAAACCCUACGCGUAACUGCUCAAAGCGUGUCACAUGCGAACCUCUCCUGCACAGCGUCGCAUCAGAUAAUUCCUCCUAGGGCCGAAGCCGACCGUUGGGGGUCACAGCGUCACCGGUAACGGCUACUUCCGUUUAGAAAAAAAUCCAGACCAUUAGAAUUGAAAGACCUAUCCGGAAAUUCUCUAUUUCGUUUUCUUCUCAGAAAAGAUCAAACUUUCUUCACUCCGUCGAUCUCUCUCUGCAUCAAACACUUACGAUUUGACGUCUUAAAUACUCGGCAAAUCUGCCAGGGAACUUUUUAGCCAUGGAUCUUGGGUGCUUUGACUUGGGUUGCGUAUCUGUGUCAGAGAAGCAAAGCAAUGAAGCCUAUGUCGAUUCAGAGAGCAAGGAAACGGAAGCCAGUGAGUCUGUUGCAACGGCUUCGGAGGUUGGGAAGAAUAAGGCAUUGAAAGAGACUGGCCAACCAACAGCGAAUGCUCUUAACAAAUUUACAUUACAAAUUAAGAAGCCUUUUCACCGUAAAAAUUCUCCCAUCAAUUGGUUCCCACGCAAAAAGGCGGACUCCUACUUAAAGAGGAAAAUAAAGAUGCUGCAGGAGUUAGGUGGCAUGAAUUCAACUCUAGAUGAGACUCUAGGCGAUUCAAAUCCACAUUACACCAGAGUUGAGAAAGAAAAAAUUGCAGCCAGAGAGGCAGCACGCAAGGCAAUGGAGGCACGAAAAGCUGCAAUGAUUGAAGCAUCUUGGUGUCGAAUUCUUCAAGCUGCCAGGAUUCAGAGUAAAGAAGCAGAAACCCUGCUACUGAACGCUGAAAAAAGCGUAUCUGAAGCUUUUGAGGCAGCAAUGGCCAUGGGAGUGAUAAUGUAUGAUAUACUGAACUUUUCUAUGAAGCCGUGUGAAAUUGAAACAUCAUCCAUUCAUGGAGGAGGAUCUACAACUACUCACACUGUUGCAGCAACUUUUGAGACUGCAUUUGAGGUAGAUAAGGACGUAGCUGCAGCAGUCAAGACUGCAUUCAUUAGGCUGGCAAAUUGCCCUUCAAUUAAUAAAGAUGAAUUUAGAGAUCUUCUACGAAAAAUCAGUCAGAAUCCUGAUACAGGCGAAGACAAUCAGGAAUUAUCAUAUUUUUCUUCAGAAUGUGAAUUGGAUACUGGGCCCAAGCUUGAACUGGGAUUUCAAAAAGAUGACUUUUGUGACUUGGACUGCAAGAUGUCAGUUGCAGAAACAGAACAGAGGAAAUGCAAGAAGAGGAAACUUUCUGACAAUUUUAGUAAGGAAAAGCUUAUUGACAUGAUGCUUGAAAGGCUUAAAUGUUUACAAGAAGAGGAGCUGGCUUCUCUAGCUACCAUAGUUGCAACUUGUGGAUUAAGUGCUGCCCUGGCUGAAGCAGAAAAUGGUAAGCAGCAACUGGGCUCUGCUGCUGAUUUUAGUUCAGAUCUAACUCCCAAUUUCAUCCGUAGAAUGUCUUCCCUUGGACCAAGAACAUUAAAAAUGUCUAACUUAGAAUUGAAUGGGCAGAUGACAAGAAAGCAAGCUGAGUUUGCACUCCCAAGUCUAGAUAAGAUUUUGGUCAGGCGCAUGUCAAAACUUGAAAGAGAGGUGCUGGAAGCAAAGAACACCAGAAUGAAUGAGCCUAAAAAGGCCAGUGGAGAGAAACUAGACAAAUCUGAUGUUGAAACUGUUGAAUUAGAUAAUAAUAUAACUUCUUCGGAGACUAUGCCAGACUUGGGAAGUAUUCUUGUCAAGCAUACCUCUAAGCUUGAGAAGGACAUCGAAGAGGCAAAAAGGAAUUCAGGAAAGAAAUCUCAAAUUGACCACAAGGAUUCAGUCUGCGUUAGAACUUCAUCUGAGAAUGUUCCUGACUUGGAAAGUAUAUUAAUCAAGCAUUCUUCAAAGCUUGAGAAGGAGAUUGAAGAUACCAGAAGUAAAUAUGGAGAAACAUUAGAAUUGAAUGACAGAAAAUCAGAAAGAUUGCGAAAUGGGGUGGUCAGCUGCAGAAAGAAUAAUGUUGUUGAUGUCCCCAGCCUGGAUAAGUUUCUGGUGAAACAUGUAUCAAGGUUGGAAAGAGAAGUCCAAGAAGCAAAAAACAGAAGGAGAAAUGACUCAGUUGAAGGAACAAAAGUGGGGAAAGAAAAUGUCAACUUGAUUCAGAUCAAUCAAGUGAACAAUGAGGUAGGAGAAACAUUCUCUCAGGAAGAUGAAAAAGAUGGAAUUGAUGAAAAAGAAAAUAUCAUGGAUAAGAUAUUGGUCAAACCAAUGCACAGGUUGGAGAGGGAGAAAAUGCAAGCAUUGUCACCCAUGAGGGACAACGGAAUUCAAAGAAACAAAAAGAAGCUUGGAGGAAAUAGUAUUACAGAUUGUGAGAGCUUGGACAAAGUUUUAGUGAGGCAUGUUUCUAGGCUAGAGAGGGAAAAAAUGACUUGUAAAGAAGUGGAGAUUCUGAAGAAAAGCAAUGCUAAAAUACAGUCAGAGAAAAAUGAACGUGGUUUGGACCAAAUUUUGGUUAAACAUAAAUCUAGGCUUGAGCAAGAAAAGAUUGCUGCUGCUCAGCAAUCAGGCGAGCAGAUUAAUUCCCUGGCUGGCCAAGAGGCAAGAAAGAGAGAGCUGCAAGAAGCCUGGGGAGGCUUGAGCUUGGAAAAUUCCGCACAGUCGGAGAAGAAUGAAGGAGGUCUGGACCGAAUUUUUGUUAAACAUAAAUUAAGACUCGAGCAGGAAAAGAUUGCUGCUACCCUGCAAUCAGGUGAGCGGAUUAAAUCAGGCAAGCAGAUUAAAUAUUCCCUAGCUCGCAAAGAAGCAAGAGAGAGAGAACUGCAAGAAGCUUGGGGAGGCUUGAGCUUGGGAAAUUCCAUACGUCCACAUCUUUCAAAACUUGAACGAGACAAGGCAACUUGGAUCAAAGCUGAAGAGGAACAGAAGAGGGUAGCUAAAGGGGCUAGCUUUGAUCCUUAUGGUUGAUAGAUAUGCUCUAAUGCUUUGCGACCCCAGGGAAAGAGAUGAUAUUUAAAACUCUAGGUUUGCAUAUUUGGGAUAAGGGGCUAGACAAUAGACAAGCUUGUGCAGGCCUGACAUUGCAUGCUCCAUAGACCGGCAGCUGCUUAAUGAACUUGUGGUGCAUUUUUGGUAAUAAGGCCUUACGCUUUGUUGGCGUGGCACAAAGAAGCAAAGAGUGGUGCUGCAAUUACUUGCCUUUGAAACAUGAGUGCUCCACGAAGGGAGGGAAUGAAUGAGACCAAGGCAGAGAAGCGUGGGGGUGAUUUCCUUCAAUAAUUAACAUGUCUCAUUAGACUCUGAUGGAAAAAAAAAAAAAGGAAAUUCUUUAAUUUGCUCUUUCGUUCCCUCCCAAAUUCCCUGAUUUUUAGGGGUUUUGUUUUAGGAGUUUUGGAGGGUAAUAGAAUUCCCAUAUGAGGGAACUGCCUCCUCUCCCCCAAGCAUAGUAAAUAAAUAAAUAAAUAAAUAUGAAAGGCCACAUGUCCUGCUCAUCAAGUUGAUGGACGUGUCCCCUCCUGCCUACAUGGGCUUGUCAAUUCUGAAA
Malania oleifera is the source of this 3654-nucleotide RNA transcript. RefSeq lists it as uncharacterized. NCBI's taxonomy places the organism in Eukaryota, Viridiplantae, Streptophyta, Magnoliopsida, Santalales, Ximeniaceae. The transcript has 6 exons. The record is from RefSeq and is a predicted model, not a curated record.